Oryctolagus cuniculus (rabbit) is the source of this 3804-nucleotide non-coding RNA. Lineage: Eukaryota; Metazoa; Chordata; Mammalia; Lagomorpha; Leporidae. The record is from RefSeq and is a predicted model, not a curated record.
UUCAUAAAUUUGGGUGCAUAAGGUGAUUGUCAUGGAAUCCUCCAACCUCAGUGUCAGUUUGAAGUAGACUAGGUUAGAUUCUUGUCAAGUUAAAUGUGCAAGGGUAUGCAUGUGUGAGUGUUAGUCUUGGUGUGUGUGUAUGUAGAUAUUUUAGGGAGAGGAGUAUGGGUGAAUAUUUAAUCUGCAUAGAGUAUAAAAACAGGACCCAAGAUGGGAAUUUGUCAGUGUGACUCCAACAUUGUUCAUGGCCUAUGGGUGUGGCUAGUGAUGUGUGGGGUGAAGUGUGGUGUCCCGGGGUGAUGGUUACUGUGACGGCACGGUGUGUUGGCAGGAGGGCGUGGUUUGGUAGUGUGGGCUGGUGUGUGGUAUGGUUAGGCCUGACAUGUGGUUUGAUGUGGGGGUACAGUUGGUUUGGAAUGAGCCUUUCUGGUAGUUGGUAUCGUGAGCUGCGAGAGGCAGGAGGCUGGAGUACUUGAGUGUGUGUGAGGCGAUAGUGUGGAUAUGGUGUGUGUGUGUGUGUGUGUGACUUAGCUUUUGUUUAGAUUUUCUUUUGCUCUUUGUUUUGGCCUUUGUUUUUGUCUUUGUUUGGUCUUUGUUUUGUCUUUGUUUCACUCUUUGUUUAAACUUUCUUUGGCUUUUGUUUGGUCUGUCUUUAGCCUUUUGUUCAAACUUUGUGUGGCCUUUUUGUAGUUUUUGUGUAGCUUUUGUUUUAAAGUGGAUCUUGGCUGAGGACCCAUUACAAACACCUUGUGUUAUGAAAAACCCAGAUAUAUAAUCUCUCCCUAUAUAUUCUGCAUGCAUUGAAGUAGCUGGAACCCUUCAGGGACCUGGUACAGACGUGGAACCUGUUGCACACAACAAUUGCUAUUCGAAGGAAAAAAAAAAAGAAGCAAAUGAUACCAAGACAAGCUCAUAUCAGAGAUUUAAACACCAUAUGCGUGUGGAAGAAAAUACAGAAGAGCUCCAGCAUUAAAAGUUUUGGAUAAACUGGAUGAGUCGACAAGAGAAAUCAAGAAAGAGGGGCUAGAGAUGAAGAAAUGCAGGAGAAUGUGGUGUCACAGGAAAGGGAGGGGCUUCGAUGGAGAGAGCUCCAGUGCAGAGGAGAAGAGGUUUCGCAGCAUGGAGAACAGGAGCGCUAGCCAGACUGCAGUGCACUGCUGAUGAGAUGAGUCAGAAGACGGGUAAGGAGGGUCCCAGACUCUCCAAGAACCAGAGGUUCUCGGAGCACUUCAGCAUACGCUGCUGCCCGCCCUUCACCUUCCUCAACUCCAAGACGGAAAUUGUGGAUCGCAAGUACAGCAUCUGCAAGAGUGGCUGCUUCUACCAGAAGAAGGAGGAGGACUGGAUCUGCUGCGCGUGCCAGAGGACCAGCACCAGCCGCCGUGCAACGUCCCCUCAGAGGCCCAAGCUCCAGCCAGCUGCGCCCCCCGCGGUGGUCAGAGCGCCCGCCAAGCCACGGUCCCCUCCGAGGUCUGAGCGUCAGCCGCGUCCCCGCCCAGAGGUCCGACCACCGCCCGCCAAGCAGCGGCCCCCUCAGAAGGCCAAGGCCAAGCAACAGCCGCGCAGCAGCCCCGUCAGAGGGCCAGGCGCCAGCCGUGGGGGGUCCCCCAACAAAGCUUCUAGGUUCUGGUAACGCGGGCUCUUCCCUUUUGUUACCCCAGCCCUAAGAUUGAAAAGAAGAACCAAGCCAACCCCCAAAAAGAAGUGACCAAGAAAGUGAAUGGAUGGCCUCAGCUCCUGGACUCACUGUUUUGCGACCCAUCUGCCCUCGGACAAGUUAUCUGGCUUUGGAAGUGAUGUGGCAAUUGCCAUUGUGCACAGUCCCCAUGGCAUGGGGGCCUCAGGACAGCCUGCCUGGAGCACUUUGAAGAUAUCAUCCCUUUGUUUUCUGACUUGUAUCGUUACCUUGAGAAAUCUGUCAGUCUGCCUGUCCUUCCAUUGACUCAAGUUUCUUCAAUCUGAAGAUAUAUAUCUUUCUUCAGGGACAUACAAAAAAGAUUGUACAACCAUCAAAAUGGCAAAAAUAAAAAAAUUAUCAAGUGUUGGCAAGGAUGUGAGGAGAAUUCUCAUAAGCUACCAAUGAGAAUUUAUGAACUGAUACAAUAUCUUUGGGAGUAAUACGGGGAUAGCAAGUUAUGAUUUUAGUUAUCUUUCGUAGAGAAAACUUGCACUCGUGGAAAAAUGAGAUGCACACAAAUCUACUCAAUGAAUCAUUGUUUGCCAUUGAGAAAAAAUAGAUGCAUAAAAAGAAAUUAGCCAAAAUGUCCACCAAAUGUUCACCACAAAUGAAUGAAUCAAUUGUGACAUAUUCGUGAAUAAAAUACUAAAGAACAGUUAAGACACAUGAAUCAGAUGUACCUGUACCAAGUAAGUAAAUUUGGAAGACAAAAUGAGGAGUACAAAAAGCCAACAGUAGAUGGUAGAUGCAGUAUGAUGCCUUAUUUAUACCUUUUAACAACCCACAUACCAUAUAGCAUAUCGCUCAAUAAGCAGAAACCAUACUUCACAUUUUUUCCUACAGUUCAGUAGAACAAAAAAAUGACAACAAAGUCCAAAAAAUAUACUCACGAAAUCUAUCCUUUCAGAAAAGAUUGGAAGUAACUCCUGGUUUGAAGAAAUUAUUUACAUUUAAAAGCCAUAUAGAAAUAUUUUACAAUGUUGGUCAUAUAUAUUUGUUUAGAAAGAAAAGUAGAGGCCUGAUGAAGAGCCUAGGAUGUGCUCAAGGUAACAGGUCUUAACAAGAAAAGUCUUUGUUACGGGUCCAUUUUAGAUCCAGGCCUGUGAUUUUGGCAUCUGAUGGUUUCUGACUUGGGGGGGAAAUGGAAGAAUUGGAAAACAUCUCUGCCUUCAGAAUCUUCCUUCAGUACUAGGUAGUAAAACACAGAAGAAGACAAUAGAAUGUUGUGGAACGUGGAGGCAUGUAAAACGGACUGUAUCAGGAUAGAAGGAAACACAGAGCACAGGACUCCUCAGUCAGAACAGUCUUGUGCUGGGAGCUGCUGUGGCCACGACAGGCGUAUGCCCAAAGCUCCAACAAGGCCGUGGCUUUGUGCCUUUGAACACACCCAGAUCUAGCCAAGUUUAACAGGCAAGUAAAAAUUUAGGGGCAAUGUCAGAGGAAAUCCUGUUGGAAGUUGAGGAGAGAAAGGCAGAGAGCAGGGAAAAAUGGUAGGCUCAGGUCUGAGAUGUGGCUCACAGUGUCAUUCCCCCCAGAGAGGAAUCAGGCCGGUACUAUCCCAAGGCAGCUGAAGGAAGACCAGGGUGGCCUGGCUUCCUCACUUGGGCAUCCAUGGCUCUGUCAGUGAGCCAAUAAGAAGGCAGGGGAGUUUAACUCUACAGAACCUUCAGGAAGAACUUUUCUCUUGCCUAAACUCAGGUGCUAAAUGAACAACAAAAUGAGAACCUCUCUGAUGAACAGUUUCCAGUGAUGAGUUAUCUGAGGCCAUUACAUGGCUAGGAAUAAUGGGAUGUGGAAGGGUGGGGGCGGGGUGGGAAUACAUGACAGACCACUGGUGAGUGAAAACAAAUUACUAACCCAUCCCUCUUUAGCUCCAGUAAAGAAGUUAACAUCCCUUCAGGCUGUUGUAGAUUUUGGCAAAGCCACAUCCGCCGAGCUUGUAGAAUCCUGUCCUUCCAUGCUGUUUAGAAGACGUGUUUACUACAGAAUGGUUGGGGAGGGUAGAGCAUAGCAUAUAUUAAUGCAUGAAAAAAGUUGGAUAUUAGACCAGUAAUGUUACUAACUAGAAAUGACUGAACUCUGUGUUUGUCUGUUGUGGAAAUAAAACCUUCUGGGGAUGGAUCAAA